RNAcentral lists this microRNA precursor (196 nucleotides) under Helianthus ciliaris. Its description in RNAcentral is "miR156b stem-loop (hci-MIR156b)". Its record names the gene hci-MIR156b. Lineage: Eukaryota; Viridiplantae; Streptophyta; Magnoliopsida; Asterales; Asteraceae. The record is from miRBase by way of RNAcentral.
UGAAGUACUAGGAUAGGAAGUGACAGAAGAGAGGGAGCACAGAUUCCUUUAUUUAGGCUUUCCAUCUAGUUUAAGUUGGAUUCUCUUGGAUAAUCCUUUGGCUGUGCACACAAACAAGUUCCUUCUUGAACUCCAGGGAGUUGUUCUUCCUUCGCCUUUCAUUGUGGCCCGCUAAACGCCUCCUACAACUUCUUUU